Molecule: ribosomal RNA, 253 nt
Filed under: uncultured bacterium
Lineage: Bacteria
Description: partial 16S ribosomal RNA
Rfam family: Bacterial small subunit ribosomal RNA
Source: RNAcentral
UACGAAGGGGGCUAGCGUUGCUCGGAAUCACUGGGCGUAAAGGGUGCGUAGGCGGGUCUUUAAGUCGGGUGUGAAAGCCCCGGGCUCAACCUGGGAAUUGCAUUCGAGACUGCGUAGCUAGGGUGCGGAAGAGGGAAGCGGAAUUUCCGGUGUAGCGGUGAAAUGCGUAGAUAUCGGAAGGAACACCAGUGGCGAAAGCGGCUUCCUGGUCCAGCACCGACGUUCAGGCACGAAAGCGUGGGGAGCAAACAGG